CCCAACAUUUCGCUUCGCUGCAUGUUGGGCUGAAAUCGCCCGUCCCUUCGGGACU
Molecule: small RNA, 55 nt
Filed under: Bacteroidales bacterium Barb4
Lineage: Bacteria; Pseudomonadati; Bacteroidota; Bacteroidia; Bacteroidales
Description: Acido-Lenti-1 RNA
Rfam family: Acido-Lenti-1 RNA
Source: Rfam by way of RNAcentral